GGUAAAAUGGCUGAGAUUAGGCGCUAAAUUGUAAAUUUAGUUACGAAUUUAAAUUCUUUUAUCA
RNAcentral lists this transfer RNA (64 nucleotides) under Bostrichoidea sp. 3 KM-2017. Its description in RNAcentral is "tRNA-Tyr". It matches the Rfam family "tRNA". From Rfam's summary of the family: Transfer RNA (tRNA) molecules are approximately 80 nucleotides in length. Lineage: Eukaryota; Metazoa; Arthropoda; Insecta; Coleoptera. The record is from RNAcentral.